UUUUUCUGGCUCUUCAAGGGCAUAGUCUCAGACUUGUCAUGAAGUGAAUUCAAGCAGUGUGCCUUUGGGGAUUUGAGGGAAAGAAGAAAGGCCUGGCUGGAAAUGUGGCUGUGAAGUUGAGGAAGAAAAGGGUUCAGAACAGAAUCACCAAGUAGUAGUUCAAAGAAUGAAGUGACUGCUGAUGAUUCUUGUGAUGAAAUUGCCACUCAAGUCUCAAAUCAUAGCAAAAUAUUUCCAUGAAUUCACACUUAAAUGCACAUAAACUGUGCUGUUAAUGAAGGCACAGGGAAGAGAAAUUCUUCACAAGCUUCAUUGAGUUGAAUAUCCUAAAGAAAUAACACAUCUAAAACUCAUUCAACAUGCAGGGUAAGAAAAAAGACAAAAAGAUUUGUCAAAAAUUUGACAAAGGAAUUUCCUGCUGGUCAGAUGCUUGAAGGUCCACAGCGUCCUAUUGGGAGACCCAAAAGGAUUGAUGAUGUUGAAGAAACUGGAGGUGAAAGCAAACAUUUUUAAAGAGUGAGAAAAAAGGUCACUCGACAAUGGCAUUAACAUGACCUGACGAUACUUCCUUUUUCACUCUGGUCUGUUUUCCUACUCAUGCUGAUCUAUUAAAUGGCUACCAAGUCUCAA
Molecule: non-coding RNA, 630 nt
Organism: Ictidomys tridecemlineatus (thirteen-lined ground squirrel)
Lineage: Eukaryota; Metazoa; Chordata; Mammalia; Rodentia; Sciuridae
Source: RefSeq, a predicted model, not a curated record